Molecule: ribosomal RNA, 1540 nt
Filed under: Enterobacter asburiae
Lineage: Bacteria; Pseudomonadati; Pseudomonadota; Gammaproteobacteria; Enterobacterales; Enterobacteriaceae
Also listed under: 2 other names
Description: bacterial SSU rRNA
Rfam family: Bacterial small subunit ribosomal RNA
Source: RNAcentral
AAAUUGAAGAGUUUGAUCAUGGCUCAGAUUGAACGCUGGCGGCAGGCCUAACACAUGCAAGUCGAGCGGUAGCACAGAGAGCUUGCUCUCGGGUGACGAGCGGCGGACGGGUGAGUAAUGUCUGGGAAACUGCCUGAUGGAGGGGGAUAACUACUGGAAACGGUAGCUAAUACCGCAUAACGUCGCAAGACCAAAGAGGGGGACCUUCGGGCCUCUUGCCAUCAGAUGUGCCCAGAUGGGAUUAGCUAGUAGGUGGGGUAACGGCUCACCUAGGCGACGAUCCCUAGCUGGUCUGAGAGGAUGACCAGCCACACUGGAACUGAGACACGGUCCAGACUCCUACGGGAGGCAGCAGUGGGGAAUAUUGCACAAUGGGCGCAAGCCUGAUGCAGCCAUGCCGCGUGUAUGAAGAAGGCCUUCGGGUUGUAAAGUACUUUCAGCGGGGAGGAAGGCGAUAAGGUUAAUAACCUUGUCGAUUGACGUUACCCGCAGAAGAAGCACCGGCUAACUCCGUGCCAGCAGCCGCGGUAAUACGGAGGGUGCAAGCGUUAAUCGGAAUUACUGGGCGUAAAGCGCACGCAGGCGGUCUGUCAAGUCGGAUGUGAAAUCCCCGGGCUCAACCUGGGAACUGCAUUCGAAACUGGCAGGCUAGAGUCUUGUAGAGGGGGGUAGAAUUCCAGGUGUAGCGGUGAAAUGCGUAGAGAUCUGGAGGAAUACCGGUGGCGAAGGCGGCCCCCUGGACAAAGACUGACGCUCAGGUGCGAAAGCGUGGGGAGCAAACAGGAUUAGAUACCCUGGUAGUCCACGCCGUAAACGAUGUCGACUUGGAGGUUGUGCCCUUGAGGCGUGGCUUCCGGAGCUAACGCGUUAAGUCGACCGCCUGGGGAGUACGGCCGCAAGGUUAAAACUCAAAUGAAUUGACGGGGGCCCGCACAAGCGGUGGAGCAUGUGGUUUAAUUCGAUGCAACGCGAAGAACCUUACCUACUCUUGACAUCCAGAGAACUUAGCAGAGAUGCUUUGGUGCCUUCGGGAACUCUGAGACAGGUGCUGCAUGGCUGUCGUCAGCUCGUGUUGUGAAAUGUUGGGUUAAGUCCCGCAACGAGCGCAACCCUUAUCCUUUGUUGCCAGCGGUUAGGCCGGGAACUCAAAGGAGACUGCCAGUGAUAAACUGGAGGAAGGUGGGGAUGACGUCAAGUCAUCAUGGCCCUUACGAGUAGGGCUACACACGUGCUACAAUGGCGCAUACAAAGAGAAGCGACCUCGCGAGAGCAAGCGGACCUCAUAAAGUGCGUCGUAGUCCGGAUUGGAGUCUGCAACUCGACUCCAUGAAGUCGGAAUCGCUAGUAAUCGUAGAUCAGAAUGCUACGGUGAAUACGUUCCCGGGCCUUGUACACACCGCCCGUCACACCAUGGGAGUGGGUUGCAAAAGAAGUAGGUAGCUUAACCUUCGGGAGGGCGCUUACCACUUUGUGAUUCAUGACUGGGGUGAAGUCGUAACAAGGUAACCGUAGGGGAACCUGCGGUUGGAUCACCUCCUUA